CGGAGGGUGCAAGCGUUAUCCGGAUUCACUGGGUUUAAAGGGUGCGUAGGUGGGAUGGUAAGUCAGUGGUGAAAUCUCCGAGCUUAACUCGGAAACUGCCUUUGAUACUAUCAUUCUUGAAUAUUGUGGAGGUUAGCGGAAUAUGUCAUGUAGCGGUGAAAUGCUUAGAUAUGACAUAGAACACCAAUUGCGAAGGCAGCUGGCUACGCAUAUAUUGACACUGAGGCACGAAAGCGUGGGAUCAAACAGGAUU
Molecule: ribosomal RNA, 253 nt
Filed under: uncultured bacterium
Lineage: Bacteria
Description: partial 16S ribosomal RNA
Rfam family: Bacterial small subunit ribosomal RNA
Source: RNAcentral